UACGUAGGGGCCUAGCGUUGUCCGGAAUUAUUGGGCGUAAAGAGCUCGUAGGCGGUUCGGCAAGUCGGAUGUGAAAUCUCCACGCUUAACGUGGAGGGGCCAUUCGAAACUGCUGUGACUCGAGUCCGGUAGGGGAGUGUGGAAUUCCCGGUGUAGCGGUGAAAUGCGCAGAUAUCGGGAGGAACACCAAUGGCGAAGGCAGCUCGCUGGGACGGUACUGACGCUGAGACGCGAAAGCGUGGGGAGCAAACAGG
Molecule: ribosomal RNA, 254 nt
Filed under: uncultured bacterium
Lineage: Bacteria
Description: partial 16S ribosomal RNA
Rfam family: Bacterial small subunit ribosomal RNA
Source: RNAcentral